RNAcentral lists this small nuclear RNA (329 nucleotides) under Rattus norvegicus (Norway rat). RNAcentral describes it as "7SK RNA". The stretch from base 1 to 270 matches the Rfam family "7SK RNA". Rfam says of the family: 7SK was discovered as an abundant small nuclear RNA in the mid-70s but a possible function has only recently been suggested. Two independent studies have found that 7SK RNA binds the CDK9/cyclin T complex (known as elongation factor P-TEFb). The record is from Rfam by way of RNAcentral. Lineage: Eukaryota; Metazoa; Chordata; Mammalia; Rodentia; Muridae.
UGAUGUGAGAGUGAUCUGGCUGCAAUAUCUGUCACCCCAUUGAUUCGGCUGAUCUGGCUAGCUAGGCAAGUAUCCCCUUCCUCUCUCAGCGCUCCAUGUGCGUUCCUCCCAAAGCUGUGUGCUUGGUCGAAAAGGGCGAGCUUCCCUGAAUAGAGGAGGAGCAGUCUUCAAGGGUAUAUGAGUAGCUGCACUCCCCAGCUAGAACCUCCAGGCAAGCUCUAGAAGUGAUUGGCCAAACAAGCCCAAAACCUAAAGAACUUGGGAGUGUUUCUAUGGCCCAGACUAGAACCAGCCUUAGUGCAGGUGCAAGUUAGGCACCUACACUUUAA